Long non-coding RNA from Poecilia latipinna (sailfin molly), 2473 nucleotides. RefSeq lists it as uncharacterized. NCBI's taxonomy places the organism in Eukaryota, Metazoa, Chordata, Actinopteri, Cyprinodontiformes, Poeciliidae. The transcript is spliced from 2 exons. The record is from RefSeq and is a predicted model, not a curated record.
AGCAAUUUUCUAAUACUAAACAAAACAUUUUCAUUCAAACAAUUUCCAUUUGAUUCUGAUAUUGUCACAGAUAGUACAAUUUUCAAAUACAUUCAUCAUUUACUAGAUUAGUAAUUCUAAAAUUAGAUAAUACAAUUUUCAUUAAAAAACAUGCUAUUAGUAACUAAGAAAAAUGUCUUAGAAAUUAAAUGUUAGUGGUUUUAACAUUCUAUGUUGUAUUCAGUUUUACACCAUCCCAGAUGUUAGUUCUGGAAGACUUUUGAUCUUCCGUGAACCGAGCAAACUUCUCUCUCCCAGGCUCAAGUGAUACUGCCCUCCUGGAGAUGCUAAUUUUAUGGCCUCCUGUCCUCUCUGAUAACACAACAGGAGCCUCAGUGAGAGUUCCCUUUUGAUCUGUAUUUUCCUUCUUGUACUUUGAAUACUUACCCAUCAAUAGUUUAGUUUUUAAAUCAUUAACACAAACCUGUUCAAAAUUAAGAAAUUUGUUCAAAAUGGCAAUGCUCAAUAUACCUUUUACACAUGCCGUAAGAUUAACUGUGUUAAACACUAAAAAUAAUCAUUUUUUUCUCAACAAUCCCCAAAAAUUAAAAAAAUCCAGAACAACAAAAAACCCCCACAAAAUGUCUCCUUUGUGGCUGCAUUGUCUCAUUAUACAGUACACAUGUGAAAACAAAACUCUUAAUAUCAUGAUUUCAGUUUCUCUGUGACUUGUUAGGUGAAUAUUAUUGUGAUUACAUUCAGUUUGAAACAACUUGAGAUCUGAAUAUUUCCUGAGGAGACUGUUCUGACUUGCCUUUUUUCACAUCUGUAAGAAAUUAAUAGCUGCAGAAUUACUGCAAAAUCCCUACAUUACUGUAAUAGCUCUUAAUAUAAAAUAUCUUUACUUUGUUUUACAUAAGUGGAAAUCCUGAAAAAACAUGUUGGUGAUACAAAAUUACAACUAAUGACUUUUAUGUCACUCAGGAGCAUAAUGGCAAUUUUUGCGCAGUAGUUUGUUGGGGCUUGUUUACUGUGUUUUAGUUGACUAAAACUGUAUGCUAUGUUUUUUGUUUGAGCAGACAGCUUCAUGAAGGUGGGUUCUGCUCCAGCCAGAGUUAACUCUUAUGAGCCUAAAAUUGGAACAAGGCCAUGAUGUUAAUAGCACAGUAUGCAGAGUCACAUGCAGCCGUGACUAAAUGACCAUCUUGGGCUUGGACUGAUUGGUGCAACAUGAACACAUUUCCUCUAUCAGGGGUUUUUGCAUCUUGGAAAGUCUAAUUCACAACAAAUUCCUUUUAUCAGUUAAUGAUAGUUAAAUCACUUCCUGGCAGAAAAAACAAUCAGAUCUGAUGUGUUUUCCAUUUUCUUCUUUGUACAUCAUCAUGGAAAGUAUGAGGAAGAAACCAGAUGGCUUUUGAAGGAGAUGAUCAUUUCUGUGUUCAGAAACCGAUUUGUCUCUGCGACAUGUUAUGCUUCAUGGCCCAGAGAAAAACUCACACUCAUUUCUACAUAAUGAGAUUCUGUUAAGAACAUUUCAUACUUUGAGUUGCUGUUUUCGACCUUGCACCUGCAGACAGGACACACUCAAAUAUUGUUUCUAAUAUUUGUUCUUGGGCUGCACAGUGACAGGAAAAUGAAUGCUAAGUGGUUAUAUUCAGAAACCUGUUUGACACAGUUUCUUAUGUCUAAUUAACUUGUUCUGAUACAUUUCUGUUUGUUACAUUUCACAGUCAGGGUCAGCAGCAGAAGGACUUGUUUAUUCAGCUCACUAUCACAUACUGUUUAAAUUUACAUCACAAUAUUUUUAAGACCAAGAGUGAAAGCUAAAAAUGUCGCUACAGUAGUUGCAUUCCAGACGUUAGUGCUGGUCCUCAAUCUGUAACCUAUUAUCCUAACUAUAAUCUAAAGUACACUGAAUAAAAAGUUCAGACUAUUAAGCAAUAUGCUCUAAACACUGUUGGAGAACUACUCUUCAGUAAACAGCAAAUAAAAUAUUUGCCUUCAACUAACAUUGAAUCUUUUUUAUCUUUUACUGCUGUGUCUUGUUCCCCUCUGUAGAACAUGCAUCUUUGAACAUUUGUAUUUGAUGACAUUACUUUGAGAACACUGACAUAUAGCUUCCCUGUUUCACUCCCAGAAGGAUUAUAUCUUUUUUAAAUUACCCUGGCUACAAGCUGUAAUGUGUUUGAAAUUAAAGAAUACACCAGAGUUUAUCACAGGUUGUCAGAUAACUGGACACUGUAACAUACAGUGAGCCCCUUAAUGAGUAUAUUAAUGAAUGAUUUGUUUACAAGAAAUGAUCCAUGAGUGUAAUUUGUAUUUUGUUUGACCAGAAUUAACUGGAAAAUGCUGUAUCUUUCUUUAGGAAAUAAUUCUAUUAUACUGCAUCAUGGACAAUGCUAGAAUCUUUUCAACUCUAGAAUGUAUCAUGUUUGUAUACAUCUGUUAUUAUGUUGUACAUAUUGCUCAUUAUGAUAAAAUACCUUUACAACAU